RNAcentral lists this ribosomal RNA (234 nucleotides) under Triticum aestivum (bread wheat). RNAcentral describes it as "partial small subunit ribosomal RNA". Lineage: Eukaryota; Viridiplantae; Streptophyta; Magnoliopsida; Poales; Poaceae. The record is from RNAcentral.
AUGCUGGAGCCCAGGAGCCAGACGCCACCGUCGACAACGACUCCUACUACAUCGGAGGUGCCUACUACUACGUGCGGGCCGCUGACGACGACCAGGAGUAGUUUAGGAGGAUCCCAGGCAGGAGGCCUGCGCCUCUUUUGGUCUGUAUCCCAGUUUGUGCUAGCCUUCUUAAGGCAAACUUGUUUAACUUAUGUCUGUACUCAGAUAUUGUUGCUUCCGCUGACUCGUCUAUGA